This 951-nucleotide long non-coding RNA is filed under the name Fragaria vesca (wild strawberry). RNAcentral describes it as "long non-coding RNA (FVES_LNC004966)". The record is from RNAcentral. Lineage: Eukaryota; Viridiplantae; Streptophyta; Magnoliopsida; Rosales; Rosaceae.
UCUUCAUAACAAUUGUAAAAGACAACCUAAAGAUCAAUCAGGAACUGGAAUCACAGCAAAAGGAAUUUUCUACAAAUACUUAUGAUUUUCGGAAGUUGAAGACCGGCAUCAGGAAAAUUACUGAUUUUGACUCAAAUCAGUUUUUGUUUUACAAACUGACUAAGAACCUAACCAAAUAGCUGAAAUUCACAAAAUUGAUCAUCUAUUUCAGCACUAUGCAGACAAUUACACAACUCGUAGUUAUCAAAUCAUGUCCAAAUUGAAGCAAACAAAGUUAGGGUAUUGAAAAUUGGUAUUACCUUCAGAUCCGAAAGAAGAUUUGAAGCUAUAUCGAAAUCAUUAUAGAUCAACGCCGCUUUGAAUCGCCCGAAGUUCUGAGUUAGCUAGUUCAACUUUGCCUCCAUUCUCGUCUAAUUUGCUUCCCUCUCUGGUUUUCCCUUUCGCUUUUCUCACUCUUCAAAUCACUCCUGGGUCUUUCAAUUUGGAGACGAACAAGAGGACAGAGUUUGUGGCCGACUAGAGAGAAGAGAAGAGGGAGAUUGGGGGGUCUCUUUGGGUACGAAUAUGGAGAAGAUGGUGGACUGCGGAAUUUCGAUAGAUCGAUCGAGGUUUAAGUUUGAGAGAGAAUGAAGGGGAUGUAGGUGUUUGAGAUCUAGGUUUUCAAGAGAAAAAGUGAUGAACAUGCAGGUGCGAUUUAGAUUAGGUUUCAGAGAAGAGAAGAGAAAAGGGAGUUUGGGAGGAGAUGGGGGAGGGAAAUCGAGUUUUGACUUGAUUUGGGUGUAAGCUGUGUAAAAUGUCGUUUUUGCCCUUUUUUGGUGGACCCGAUGCUGGCCACGUCAGCAAACAGACGACACCAUGACGAAAAUUGGCCUUAGGCCUUUCCUUGGUAGCAAAAACAAAGUUUAGGUACCACAUUGAUAGUUUUAAAGUCUGGGUACCGCUAUGACCGUG